AGGUGGAUUUUGAUGGCGCACAUCUGAUGGACUCACAUCAUAGAAGACUGGAAUCACAAUCUGCUCCAAUUCCUUUUUACACUUUAUGAUGUGUGCAAGCUCCUCUAAGCACCAUCUUGAGGAUGCAUAGCUUUUUGAAAAUAUUACGACAGCGAAUCUG
Molecule: long non-coding RNA, 160 nt
Organism: Solanum stenotomum
Lineage: Eukaryota; Viridiplantae; Streptophyta; Magnoliopsida; Solanales; Solanaceae
Exons: 2
Source: RefSeq, a predicted model, not a curated record